GUCCCUGUAGCACAAUGGAUAGUGUGUUGGACUUCUAAUCCAAAGGUCGUGGGUUUGAAUCCCAAUUGGAAUG
RNAcentral lists this transfer RNA (73 nucleotides) under Trichonephila inaurata madagascariensis. It matches the Rfam family "tRNA". Rfam says of the family: Transfer RNA (tRNA) molecules are approximately 80 nucleotides in length. The record is from Rfam by way of RNAcentral. Lineage: Eukaryota; Metazoa; Arthropoda; Arachnida; Araneae; Nephilidae.